Molecule: long non-coding RNA, 343 nt
Organism: Xenia sp. Carnegie-2017
Lineage: Eukaryota; Metazoa; Cnidaria; Anthozoa; Malacalcyonacea; Xeniidae
Exons: 3
Source: RefSeq, a predicted model, not a curated record
CACCAAACUAUGCACCAAACACAUACAAAAUGAAAAUGACAUGAAAAUCGUGACGUUAACAAUUGGCAUCAAAAUUUUACGAAAAGUUUAGAUGUCAGAUAUUACCAUUGGUCAUAGGAUCUCUUUCUAGUAUUUCAAGGAUGUUUGUUGGGAAAAAAAUUGAAGAAGUGUUAGGAUGCUCUGUUCGUGAUUAUUUCCUUGAAACUCAAGAUAAGGUCAAUACUCUUGAAGACAUUCCUCCUUCUGUAAUUGCAACAGGAUUUAGUUAUUGUCUCACCAGUAUAUACAUGAUCUCGUUUUUGUUGCUUUUUAGGAAAAUGAGGUGUUACUUGGCCAUGUGGAC